CACAUCCCAACAAUAAACCCACAUGCUCAGGGACCCCCGAUGCAGACGCUUGAAAAAAUUACUGCACCUUACAUAUAUAAUUUUACCAUUUUAACCCGCACCAAAAAAAGAAUUUACCGCCAUAAUCACAAGUCCCAUUUUCGUAAAUUUCUCUAAUUAGUUAUUUUCUCCCUAAUUUAAAUUUUACUGAAUCAGUCUCAUAGGGAUUAGCUAUCUGUCACUGUUAAUCACCAUUACAGACAACACGAGAAAGAUAUCUUAAUAAUAAAUGGCGGACAAAUUAAAUUCAUCGCAGAAACCUCCAUAACUAUUUCCUCUGCCAUUCUUCAAUCUAUCAUCUUCUAAAAAUCGUCAAUGGUUCCUCCACCUGCUUCAUCGUCUUCUUCAUCUUCUUCCUCCCCUUCUUCCCCCAACCCUCCUGCUCCCCCGCCGCUGCUCUCGUCCUACCACUUCUCCCACUUCACCCCCGUAAGGCGUAAAAUCCAGCGCACAAUCUGUUUGUAUUGUUGUUGUUGGUUCAUUGUACUGACAUGGUGGUUGAUUGCA
RNAcentral lists this long non-coding RNA (546 nucleotides) under Linum usitatissimum (flax). RNAcentral describes it as "long non-coding RNA (LUSI_LNC001881)". Lineage: Eukaryota; Viridiplantae; Streptophyta; Magnoliopsida; Malpighiales; Linaceae. The record is from RNAcentral.